RNAcentral lists this ribosomal RNA (730 nucleotides) under uncultured bacterium. Its description in RNAcentral is "bacterial SSU rRNA". It matches the Rfam family "Bacterial small subunit ribosomal RNA", at positions 771 to 1501 of the family's 1533-position model. The record is from RNAcentral.
AACAGGAUUAGAUACCCUGGUAGUCCAUGCCGUAAACGAUGUCUACUAGCCGUUGGGGCCUCUGAGGCUUUAGUGGCGCAGCUAACGCGAUAAGUAGACCGCCUGGGGAGUACGGUCGCAAGACUAAAACUCAAAUGAAUUGACGGGGGCCCGCACAAGCGGUGGAGCAUGUGGUUUAAUUCGAUGCAACGCGAAGAACCUUACCUGGCCUUGACAUACUAGAAACUUUCCAGAGAUGGAUUGGUGCCUUCGGGAAUCUAGAUACAGGUGCUGCAUGGCUGUCGUCAGCUCGUGUCGUGAGAUGUUGGGUUAAGUCCCGCAACGAGCGCAACCCUUUUCCUUACUUGCCAGCAUUUCGGAUGGGAACUUUAAGGAUACUGCCAGUGACAAACUGGAGGAAGGCGGGGACGACGUCAAGUCAUCAUGGCCCUUACGGCCAGGGCUACACACGUGCUACAAUGGUCGGUACAAAGGGUUGCUACACAGCGAUGUGAUGCUAAUCUCAAAAAGCCGACCGUAGUCCGGAUUGGAGUCUGCAACUCGACUCCAUGAAGUCGGAAUCACUAGUAAUCGCGGAUCAGAAUGCCGCGGUGAAUACGUUCCCGGGCCUUGUACACACCGCCCGUCACACCAUGGGAGUUUGUUGCACCAGAAGUAGGUAGUCUAACCGCAAGGAGGACGCUUACCACGGUGUGGCCGAUGACUGGGGUGAAGUCGUAACAAGGUAACC